GUGAGGAAUAUUGGUCAAUGGGCGGGAGCCUGAACCAGCCAAGUCGCGUGAAGGAAGAAGGAUCUAUGGUUCGUAAACUUCUUUUGCAGGGGAAUAAAGUGCAGGACGUGUCCUGUUUUGUAUGUACCCUGAGAAUAAGGAUCGGCUAACUCCGUGCCAGCAGCCGCGGUAAUACGGAGGAUCCGAGCGUUAUCCGGAUUUAUUGGGUUUAAAGGGUGCGUAGGUGGUUUGAUAAGUCAGCGGUGAAAGUUUGCAGCUUAACUGUAAAAAUGCCGUUGAAACUGUCGGACUUGAGUGUAAAUGAGGUAGGCGGAAUGCGUGGUGUAGCGGUGAAAUGCAUAGAUAUCACGCAGAACUCCGAUUGCGAAGGCAGCUUACUAAGCUACAACUGACACUGAAGCACGAAAGCGUGGGGAGCAAACAGGAUUAGAAACCCUGGUAGUCC
RNAcentral lists this ribosomal RNA (445 nucleotides) under uncultured bacterium. RNAcentral describes it as "partial 16S ribosomal RNA". It matches the Rfam family "Bacterial small subunit ribosomal RNA", at positions 354 to 796 of the family's 1533-position model. The record is from RNAcentral.